CCUACGGGAGGCAGCAGUAGGGAAUCUUCCACAAUGGGCGAAAGCCUGAUGGAGCAACGCCGCGUGGGUGAAGAAGGUCUUCGGAUCGUAAAACCCUGUUGUUAGAGAAGAAAGUGCGUGAGAGUAACUGUUCACGUUUCGACGGUAUCUAACCAGAAAGCCACGGCUAACUACGUGCCAGCAGCCGCGGUAAUAUGUAGGUGGCAAGCGUUAUCCGGAUUUAUUGGGCGUAAAGGGAACGCAGGCGGUCUGUUAAGUCUGAUGUGAAAGCCUUCGGCUUAACCGGAGUAGUGCAUUGGAAACUGGGAGACGUGAGCGCAGAAGAGGAGAGUGGAACUCCAUGUGUAGCGGUGAAAUGCGUAGAUAUAUGGAAGAACACCAGUGGCGAAAGCGGCUCUCUGGUCUGUAACUGACGCUGAGGUUCGAAAGCGUGGGUAGCAAACAGGAUUAGAUACCCUGGUAGUC
This 465-nucleotide ribosomal RNA is filed under the name uncultured bacterium. RNAcentral describes it as "partial 16S ribosomal RNA". It matches the Rfam family "Bacterial small subunit ribosomal RNA", at positions 338 to 795 of the family's 1533-position model. The record is from RNAcentral.